CAGUCGCCGCGGUAAUGCGUAGGUGGCAAGCGUUGUCCGGAAUUAUUGGGCGUAAAGGGCUCGCAGGCGGUUUCUUAAGUCUGAUGUGAAAGCCCCCGGCUCAACCGGGGAGGGUCAUUGGAAACUGGGAAACUUGAGUGCAGAAGAGGAGAGCGGAAUUCCACGUGUAGCGGUGAAAUGCGUAGAGAUGUGGAGGAACACCAGUGGCGAAGGCGACUCUCUGGUCUGUAACUGACGCUGAGGAGCGAAAGCGUGGGGAGCGAACAGGAUUAGAUACCCCCGUAGUCCCUGUCUCUUAUAC
Molecule: ribosomal RNA, 301 nt
Filed under: uncultured bacterium
Lineage: Bacteria
Description: partial 16S ribosomal RNA
Rfam family: Bacterial small subunit ribosomal RNA
Source: RNAcentral